Molecule: ribosomal RNA, 454 nt
Filed under: uncultured bacterium
Lineage: Bacteria
Description: SSU rRNA
Rfam family: Bacterial small subunit ribosomal RNA
Source: RNAcentral
AGGAUGAACGCUGGCGGCGUGCCUAAUACAUGCAAGUCGAGCGGUAAGGCCCCUUCGGGGGUACACGAGCGGCGGACGGCUGAGUAACACGUAGGAACGUACCCCAAAGUGAGGGAUAAGCACCAGAAAUGGUGUCUAAUACCGCAUGUGCUCUUCGGAGGAAAGCUUCGGCGCUUUGGGAACGGCCUGCGCAUGAUUAGCUUGUUGGUGAGGUAAUGGCUCACCAAGGCGACGAUCAUUAGCUGGUCUGAGAGGAUGAUCAGCCAGACUGGGACUGAGACACGGCCCAGACUCCUACGGGAGGCAGCAGUGGGGAAUAUUGGACAAUGGGCGCAAGCCUGAUCCAGCCAUGCCGCGUGGAUGAUGAAGGCCUUAGGGUUGUAAAGUCCUUUUAACGGGGAAGAUAAUGACGGUACCGUAGAAUAAGCCCGGCUAACUUCGUGCCAGCAGCCGC